CAAGGGCAUGGCUGGUUGGCUACGUUCGGGAGGGAUAACCGCUGAAAGCAUCUAAGCGGGAAGCCUGCUUCGAGAUGAGUAUUCCCACCUCCUUGAGAGGGUAAGGCUCCCAGUAGACGACUGGGUUGAUAGGCCAGAUAUGGAAGCCUGGUAACGGGUGGAGUUGACUGGUACUAAUAGGCCGAGGGCUUGUCCUCAGUUG
RNAcentral lists this ribosomal RNA (202 nucleotides) under Streptomyces sp. SID2999. RNAcentral describes it as "partial 23S ribosomal RNA". It matches the Rfam family "Bacterial large subunit ribosomal RNA", at positions 2730 to 2925 of the family's 2925-position model. The record is from RNAcentral. Lineage: Bacteria; Bacillati; Actinomycetota; Actinomycetes; Kitasatosporales; Streptomycetaceae.